UACGGGGGGGGCAAGCGUUGUUCGGAAUCACUGGGCUUAAAGGGCGCGUAGGCGGGUGCUCAAGUCCGUGGUGAAAUCCUCCGGCUCAACCGGAGAACUGCCUCGGAUACUGGGCGUCUCGAGUGUGGUAGGGGUAUGCGGAACUAUCGGUGGAGCGGUGAAAUGCGUUGAUAUCGAUAGGAACUCCGGUGGCGAAGGCGGCAUACUGGACCACCACUGACGCUGAUGCGCGAAAGCCAGGGGAGCAAACGGG
Molecule: ribosomal RNA, 253 nt
Filed under: uncultured bacterium
Lineage: Bacteria
Description: partial 16S ribosomal RNA
Rfam family: Bacterial small subunit ribosomal RNA
Source: RNAcentral